RNAcentral lists this ribosomal RNA (296 nucleotides) under Blastocystis sp. RNAcentral describes it as "partial small subunit ribosomal RNA". It matches the Rfam family "Eukaryotic small subunit ribosomal RNA", at positions 34 to 348 of the family's 1831-position model. The record is from RNAcentral. Lineage: Eukaryota; Bigyra; Opalinata; Blastocystidae.
GGUGUCAAAGAUUAAGCCAGGCAUGUGAGAGUAUAGAUAGACAACUUUGAAAUGGGAAUGGCUCAUUAAAUCAGUUAUAGUUUAUUUGGUGAAGGAUACUAAUAGGAUAACCGUAGUAAUACUAGGGCUAAUACAUGAGUAAAGUCCCAUUGGGAUGUGUUUAUUAGAAUGAAAACCAUAUGCUUCGGCAUGAUAGUGAGUAAUAGUAACCUAUCGUAUCGCAUGCUUAAAGUAGCGAUGAGUCUUUCAAGUUUCUGCCCUAUCAGCUUUCGAUGGUAGCAUAUGGGUCUACCAUG